Molecule: ribosomal RNA, 253 nt
Filed under: uncultured bacterium
Lineage: Bacteria
Description: partial 16S ribosomal RNA
Rfam family: Bacterial small subunit ribosomal RNA
Source: RNAcentral
UACGUAGGGCGCAAGCGUUAUCCGGAAUUAUUGGGCGUAAAGAGCUCGUAGGCGGCUUGUCGCGUCUGCCGUGAAAGUCCGGGGCUUAACUCCGGAUCUGCGGUGGGUACGGGCAGACUAGAGUGCAGUAGGGGAGACUGGAAUUCCUGGUGUAGCGGUGAAAUGCGCAGAUAUCAGGAGGAACACCGAUGGCGAAGGCAGGUCUCUGGGCUGUAACUGACGCUGAGGAGCGAAAGCAUGGGGAGCGAACAGG